AGAGAGGGUGAGAGCCCCGUCGUGCCCGGA
RNAcentral lists this small nuclear RNA (30 nucleotides) under Arabidopsis thaliana (thale cress). RNAcentral describes it as "snRNA_17552". Lineage: Eukaryota; Viridiplantae; Streptophyta; Magnoliopsida; Brassicales; Brassicaceae. The record is from RNAcentral.